CGGCAUUAAUCCAUUCAGGUGAUAUUAAUGGCCUUUUCCUGCCAGGAACUCCAGUGGGCACUCAGGAAGCCAGGAUUACAGGGCUCUAUCCAGUCACCGCAUGUCUCGGCAUUCGGGAAGCCUAUCUCAGUCUCCUCAAAUUCUGCACACAUAAAACUUCAGAGCCUGGGAGCGACCCAUGAAACGCAGGUUUUUAAGGACAAAACAAUAGGACAAAAGUGCUGUAUAUUGUCCUUAAGAUGACACAUGAAUUUAAAAUGCAUAGUGUUUGGAUUAUUCAUGAGAGCCCCGCAAGAACGAUGUCCCAGGGGUUUUUGCCAGGAACAUGCCUGAGAUUGUAGAUAAGAAUCAAGCAUCUGGGGCUGCCGCACAAUGGAAAACUCCAGCACUCCAUGGAACUUUUCCAUCUGCAGCAGUCGGAGGAUUUGCCUGAGAACAUACGCGGCAUGAAGACACUCUCAGCCCUCAAGGGCACCCAGUCAGCGCUGUUUAAGGACGGUUUUUCUGUUCACAGCAUACUUCAUGAUUACAGCUUCACUCCAUUGGAUACAACUAUUUACUGAGCAUCUCCUGACACCAGAGAGGACGCAACAAAAAUCACAACUCCUAGAACUGCACAGUCUAAAUGGCAACCACUAGCCCCUGUGACAACUGAUCACUUGAAAAAUUCUUUAGACGACAGCCAUCAAGCAGCAAAUACCUCGCAGGAGGCCAUUGUGUUUCUAUUUGAACUUCUAUGGAUGUCAAGCUCUGUUCUUCAAAAUUUAGCCCUACAGAUGGGUGGCCCACCGGAGAGAAUUAAUCUCACUAUGCAGCCAACACUACCCUUUCUGGAUCUUUCCCCAGUAGUGUGGAUUCUGCUCUAGUCCAGAAUUAUGCAGAAUAAGUAUACUUCAUCUUAGACACCAUAAUUCUUCAAAUAUCUAAAAUGUAUAUUAUGCUCUCCAAAUCCUGGUCAUCUCCAGGUUAAGUAUCUCUCAAAAACAGUCCAUCAGAUAAUAUGAUUUUAAAUCUUUAUCCCCUUGGUCAUAUACCCACAAUCUCAUUCUAUUUACCAAUAUCCCUACUGAUGCAUAAACUACAUAUGUAUAUGUGUGUUUUUUUUUAAAAAAAAAGCAAUUCCACUGUAAUUUUAGCAGAGGUUAUUUCCACAUAGAGCUAUGUAUAUGUGUAUAUACACAUAUCUUUAUAUUAUAUAGUUUUCUGUGCUUUCCCAGUUAUCUACAAUGGGCAUAUAUGACUUUUAUAGCCAGGUAAUUCAAUAUUCAUUCAUUCAGUGAACAUCAUUGAGCAUCCACUAUGGGCUGGGAAGUGAGGAUGGAGCCACAAACAAGCAAAAUAAAAACCCCUGCUCUUGUGGAGUUCCCUUCUCAUUGGAAGAGACGUACAGUAAAGAAAAAAAUAAAAGAGUAAAGUUAAUAGCCUGUGAGAAGGGGAUAUAAAAGUGGGAAGGAAGACAGGGUGAUGUGUGAGAAACACUUUUUUUUUU
Molecule: long non-coding RNA, 1489 nt
Filed under: Homo sapiens (human)
Lineage: Eukaryota; Metazoa; Chordata; Mammalia; Primates; Hominidae
Description: HSALNT0404131
Source: RNAcentral